CCUUCCUACAGGAGGACACACCAGGGAGCCUUCCCUCCUCAUGCUUGCUCCUAAGUCAGGACAGGGCCCCUGGUCAUGGGCAGCAGCCAAGAAGCUGGUGCCCAGCAUGGAGACAAAGAGCUCCAGCAACCUUCUUGAAACUGUAAGACAAAUUGGAGAAAGGACGCCAGUGCUACGGGUGAUGGAACCCAGCAGUGCAUGAGCCUCCUGCCUUGUUGGAAUCACUUCCUGCCCGAGAACAGUACAAUUGCGAGAACAGAACCCUUGAGGUGUUUGAGAGCAAGUGAGCUUGGCUCCCUUGGGAGCCACAGAUAUUUAAUAAAUGUUGCUUUAUGUCCAGCUG
RNAcentral lists this long non-coding RNA (343 nucleotides) under Mus pahari (shrew mouse). RNAcentral's name for it is "lncRNA (MGP_PahariEiJ_G0005545.1)". The record is from RNAcentral. Lineage: Eukaryota; Metazoa; Chordata; Mammalia; Rodentia; Muridae.